CGAUGAACCUCCUUCGGGAGGGGAUUAGUGGCGAACGGGUGAGUAACACGUGGGCAAUCUGCCCUUCACUCUGGGACAAGCCCUGGAAACGGGGUCUAAUACCGGAUACGACCUGGGAAGGCAUCUUCCCGGGUGGAAAGCUCCGGCGGUGAAGGAUGAGCCCGCGGCCUAUCAGCUUGUUGGUGGGGUGAUGGCCUACCAAGGCGACGACGGGUAGCCGGCCUGAGAGGGCGACCGGCCACACUGGGACUGAGACACGGCCCAGACUCCUACGGGAGGCAGCAGUGGGGAAUAUUGCACAAUGGGCGAAAGCCUGAUGCAGCGACGCCGCGUGAGGGAUGACGGCCUUCGGGUUGUAAACCUCUUUCAGCAGGGAAGAAGCGAAAGUGACGGUACCUGCAGAAGAAGCGCCGGCUAACUACGUGCCAGCAGCCGCGGUAAUACGUAGGGCGCAAGCGUUGUCCGGAAUUAUUGGGCGUAAAGAGCUCGUAGGCGGCUUGUCGCGUCGGAUGUGAAAGCCCGGGGCUUAACCCCGGGUCUGCAUUCGAUACGGGCAGGCUAGAGUGUGGUAGGGGAGAUCGGAAUUCCUGGUGUAGCGGUGAAAUGCGCAGAUAUCAGGAGGAACACCGGUGGCGAAGGCGGAUCUCUGGGCCAUUACUGACGCUGAGGAGCGAAAGCGUGGGGAGCGAACAGGAUUAGAUACCCUGGUAGUCCACGCCGUAAACGUUGGGAACUAGGUGUUGGCGACAUUCCACGUCGUCGGUGCCGCAGCUAACGCAUUAAGUUCCCCGCCUGGGGAGUAC
This 803-nucleotide ribosomal RNA is filed under the name Streptomyces sp. RNAcentral describes it as "bacterial SSU rRNA". It matches the Rfam family "Bacterial small subunit ribosomal RNA", at positions 67 to 883 of the family's 1533-position model. The record is from RNAcentral. Lineage: Bacteria; Bacillati; Actinomycetota; Actinomycetes; Kitasatosporales; Streptomycetaceae.